Molecule: long non-coding RNA, 273 nt
Organism: Octopus sinensis (East Asian common octopus)
Lineage: Eukaryota; Metazoa; Mollusca; Cephalopoda; Octopoda; Octopodidae
Exons: 3
Source: RefSeq, a predicted model, not a curated record
AUUAAAUAAUACCAGUUACGCACUGGGGUCGAUAUAAUCGACCAAAGGCAGCGAACUGGCAAACUCGUUAGCACAUCGGGCAAAAUGCUUAACAGUAUUUCGUCUGCCCUUACGUUCUUAGUUCAAAUUCGGCCGAGGUCGACUUUGCCAUUCAUCCUUUCGGGAUCGAUUAAAUAAAUACCAGUUACGCACUGGAGUCAAUGUAAUCAACUUAAUCCCUUUGUAUGUCUUUGUGUGUCCGCUCUAUGUUUAACCUCCCUGUAGGCAAUAACG